Molecule: ribosomal RNA, 230 nt
Filed under: uncultured bacterium
Lineage: Bacteria
Description: partial 16S ribosomal RNA
Rfam family: Bacterial small subunit ribosomal RNA
Source: RNAcentral
AGUACAGUGGCGUACGGGUGAGUAACACGUGGAUAAUCUACCCUGGAGUGGGAAUAACGCUGGGAAACCGGCGCUAAUACCGCAUAAUCCCGAGAGGGCAAAGGAGCAAUUCGCUUCAGGAGGAGUCCGCGGCCGAUUAGCUAGUUGGCAGGGUAAAAGCCUACCAAGACUGUGAUCGAUAGCCGGCCUGAGAGGGCACACGGCCACACUGGCACUGAAACACGGGCCAG